Molecule: long non-coding RNA, 202 nt
Organism: Dromiciops gliroides (monito del monte)
Lineage: Eukaryota; Metazoa; Chordata; Mammalia; Microbiotheria; Microbiotheriidae
Exons: 3
Source: RefSeq, a predicted model, not a curated record
CUCCAGGUUUUGAAGAAUUGGAAAUGGGAAUCAGCCAGAGGGCAACGGAGAGGAACACUAUGGUAUUAGGACCAUAUUGGUUUUAUGAAAGGAUUCAUAAGCAUGGGGAGCUCUCCCUAUGGAAACCCCCUCCACCUAUGAAGACAGAGAACAGAGAUGCAAAUGAUGACCUCUCAGCAUUGCCUGUGACUUGUCCGGCCAG